UUUUAUAAUUUAGUGACAGUUUACAAUUAUACAAUUAAAGCGUAUGUACACUCCCCAAAAGGGGAAGCACUUAUAUCUUCCCAGAAGGAAGACACGAUUUGUUAAUGAUCCUUCCGCAGGUUCACCUACGGAAA
RNAcentral lists this unclassified non-coding RNA (134 nucleotides) under uncultured fungus. RNAcentral describes it as "sequence contains ITS1". The record is from RNAcentral. Lineage: Eukaryota; Fungi.